UACAGAGGGUGCGAGCGUUGUCCGGAAUUAUUGGGCGUAAAGAGCUCGUAGGCGGUUCGUCGCGUCGGCUGUGAAAUCCCGAGGCUCAACCUCGGGUCUGCAGUCGAUACGGGCGGACUGGAGUUCGGCAGGGGAGACUGGAAUUCCUGGUGUAGCGGUGAAAUGCGCAGAUAUCAGGAGGAACACCGGUGGCGAAGGCGGAUCUCUGGGCCUUGCCUGACGCUGAGGCGCGAAAGCUAGGGGAGCGAACAGG
RNAcentral lists this ribosomal RNA (253 nucleotides) under uncultured bacterium. RNAcentral's name for it is "partial 16S ribosomal RNA". It matches the Rfam family "Bacterial small subunit ribosomal RNA", at positions 524 to 776 of the family's 1533-position model. The record is from RNAcentral.